Long non-coding RNA from Girardinichthys multiradiatus, 1425 nucleotides. RefSeq lists it as uncharacterized. The transcript has 2 exons. The record is from RefSeq and is a predicted model, not a curated record. Lineage: Eukaryota; Metazoa; Chordata; Actinopteri; Cyprinodontiformes; Goodeidae.
UCGUUUCCCUGAGGAGGUGGGCGUGGUACGCAGCCCUACAGCUGCACACCUGCAGGCAAUCAUCUGCUGGUGCGUUUAAGGAGCGUGCGGGACGAGCAUUCUUCGCCUGAUGGCACACGUAGAGUGGUCUCCGUGAGCUGCAACUCUGGACCUUUCAACCACAAACCCUCUGACAGCUAAACCUUGGACACAGUUUCCGGAUCGACCUCGCAAGAGCUACCUGCCUGCCCGCUCUCUAGUAAGACCGCUCCGCCAAAACACGCCGUCGGAUUACUCGGACCUUUGAUAACACACUCACACGGACUGUGCACAGCCCCAAGCCACCACCUAGGAUUUUCCGGUGAGCCGUGCAACAAGAAAUAAGUUGGGAACGUUGCUGACUUUCCUUUUCAUUCACAGAACCUGGUCGCUGAGUUCCGCUUGCCAGAUCCAGCCUUAUUGUGUUUAAAAAAAAACACCAAUUCGGUCUUACCUGUCCGCCUCUGAUUGUUUCUGCAUGUGGGUCAGGAAACUCUCGAGUAGUAUGUCAGGCAUGACGUUAAACAGGAGGUUCAUGCUCUAAAUCAUGGGUUAAAACAAUUCUGCAAACAAGAGUGGUUUGAAAUUCAACAGCAUUAUGAAAAGGCUCUUUGCCAGUUAUUGCAAACAACGUAUUAGGUUUUUGGGAUUUAAUAAAUGAAAUCAUUUAAAACUGCUUUUUUGUAUUUACUCGGGAUAUCUUUGAUAUUAAAUUUUGUUAUUGAUCUGCAACAUUUGUGAAAAAAAGCAAAGAAGGGCCAGUACUUUUUCAUGGCACUGUAUUUAUUUAGUUUCAUAUAAAAAAUCUCUAAACCUUAAUACAGCAUAUAAUCAUGUCAUUAAAAACCCCAUAUGGGCCUCCAGGCAGUGAGUGUUUUAUAGUUUCUACUAUCUAAAGCAAAGCUCCCAUUAAACCCUGCAUUUGCUUUUUUUUUUACUACUGAAUGUGGAACUGUAUCUCUGUGCAAAAUCAGCUCUGCCAUUCUCAUAAAAACCAAACAGCAUAGACAUUGUAUGCAGUGAUGCAGAAAAUAACUAUGGAAUAUUUACAGCCACUGUACUGCAGAUUUCAACUUUUGAUUUGUGAUAGUCAUUACAGGUUCAAGAAAACAUUUUUCUUUCAACAUGUCAUUACACAGAUGAAUCAUUACACCAUUCACUGGCUAUUUGAUGAACAGCUGAGAAAUUGUCACCCCGCUGUUUAAUCUGUAAAACAAAAUUACUUGGAACACUUACUUUGCACAGCAAUCAAUCUGUUUUAGUCUAUUUUUUAUCAACUUCUUUUAAUAUAACUUUUUUUUUUUUGUUAAGAUAUGGUUGUCUACGUUUCCAUUUACAAUUAAAGACAAUAACUCUAUAUUUAAAAGUGUGCUUUAAAUGUGCCAGUAAAGUUCUAUCAUACUCGUU